CCUGAUCCUAGAAGCAUUGCAGGGGUGGCUGCUGUGUCACAUGUGUGUCAGUAGGUGGCAGAGAAGAGAGAGGCUCUGUCUAUGCUCAGUGUUCUGACCUGGCCCUGCCCACACCUACUUUAGCACUCAGAGCAUGCCCAG
This is a small nucleolar RNA of Rattus norvegicus (Norway rat), 141 nucleotides long. Ensembl annotates it as small nucleolar RNA SNORA17. The record is from Ensembl. Lineage: Eukaryota; Metazoa; Chordata; Mammalia; Rodentia; Muridae.